UACGUAGGGGGCUAGCGUUGUCCGGAAUCAUUGGGCGUAAAGAGCGUGUAGGCGGCCCGGUAAGUCCGCUGUGAAAGUCGGGGGCUCAACCCUCGAAUGCCGGUGGAUACUGUCGGGCUAGAGUGCGGAAGAGGCGAGUGGAAUUCCUGGUGUAGCGGUGAAAUGCGUAGAGAUCCGGAGGAACCCCAGAGGCGAAGGCGGCGUCCUGGCUCGCAUCUGACGCUCAGACACGACAGCAUGGGGAGCGAACGGG
Molecule: ribosomal RNA, 253 nt
Filed under: uncultured bacterium
Lineage: Bacteria
Description: partial 16S ribosomal RNA
Rfam family: Bacterial small subunit ribosomal RNA
Source: RNAcentral